UUUUUCUUCUUUUAACUUGCAUUCCUCUCUCUCCUCAUCUAUAACGGAAAAAAAUCCUCUGCCACACUUUCAAUUUCUACGCGUUUCAUCUUCCUCUCUAAAGCUUGAUUCGUCCACCCAUUUCCUAUUUAGCCAUGGCUGCUUAUCUGCGUUUUGUUUUGUCUGCUCCGAUAAUUCUACCAUUGAAGAAGCUAUCAUGCCUUUCUUAUCAUCGUCUUCGUCGAUCCCUUCUCCGCCUCCACCACCUGCGUUUUUUACUCGAAGAGGAGUUGAAACAAAUCGCUGCCUACAAACCCGUUGAGUUAAUAUUUACUCAUUCUUACUCAACGCAUCCAAAACGAAACUGUAAGCUUCCUUUUGGGGAAGUAUCCCUUCAUCAUGCUCUCGUGAGCGAUCCCAUAUGAGACAAACCCUAACUUCUCUUUUAAUUCCUCGUACAAAGCUGAAACUCCAUUCGAAUCCGACUACUUGAAUCGGUUGCGAGUCUUGCGACAGAACGAGCACAAAUUCGCCAUGUUUCUGAGGAUGUAUUAAAGGAAGCCGAAGCAAUCGGUCGAAAAAUCCAUCGAUAAAUUGGGUUCUCUCUUUCUAAUUCGGUCUGCUUGGGAAUUGCCCCUAAACUUUCUUUGCCUCUCUGUUCCUGCUGUUCGCAGAAAAACUUCACAGGAGAGGAACAUAUCAAGGGCAGCCUCUGCCAGUGCUCGUCCAGCCCUCUCUUUCAAGUUUUGUUAGUGUGGAAGAAGACGAUGGCGAAUAAAGUUUAUGUUGUUUUUGAGGGAUACAACCAAGGAAUAUACCAGACUGUAUUUCAGUCAUAUCGUUCUUUAGCUGAAGCAGAACGCGAGUAGUAUGCCUUUCAGUCAAAAAGCAAUAUUUACAAGGACGGUAGAUCAUCACAAGGGAAUUCCUUCAUUGAAAAAACUGAAUCUUUAGGAGCGGGCCCUAGAUGUUUGGAUGAGAUUCCUUCAGAUGGAAAUAUCUGCAUGUUCGGUAACUUCUUUGCCUCCUCUUUAAGCCUGCGCAACAGAGGAGCCCCAGAGCCCCUCCACCCCUGUCUCUGGUCAUAUACAACAUGGUUUGCCUCUGUUGUUGCUGUUCAAAGAAAACGUCACGGAGUCUGGUUCCUCCUCUGUAAUUUAGGUAAGGCCUCUUCAUCAUUUACCUUUUUUUUUUUCCCAUCCACAUCAACAAUCUGUGUGAACCCAUUUACAGUUAAAUUUGGACAACCAUUUUGGCGAUUGGCAGCCGAUGUUAAAGAAGUUUGUAAACCUGCUUAAGGUUAAUGAACUUUUCUACUCUUCCAGGUCCUUGGAAAUGCAAAAGGAGCGGUGGCUGUGGUGGUCUCUAUUCUAAUCUUUAGAAAUCCUGUUUCAGUGACUAGAAUGCUUGGUUACUCGCUAACAGUUAUGGGAGUUAUCCUUUACGGCGAAGUGAAGAAACGGAGCAAGUGAAGAAACCGUCUGUUGAAUAGGCAUACAAAUACAGGAAUGUGUUUUCUUGUAUUUUAUCUUUUUUUAUUAUGAGGGUCGCAACAUGAUUCUUGGAGCUGAGAUUGGAAACACAUUAGUUUGAGGCUCGUUCAGAGAGAUGGGAUGUUUCUAUGGGUGGUUGCCCCUCUAUGAGAUUUGAGAAUUUUCUCAAAUUAGCGCUGAUGAUUCUCUAAAACUCAACAGCUCUUAUCUCGUCUACCAAAAAAAAACUGAGAUUGGUGCUAUUCAGCCGAUUUCAUAUCUUGCACCCUCCAAAGUCCUUUUGUCGGAGACCGGCGAUAGGGUUUCCACCUGUAUCAAGCAUCAAUAGCAACGGCAGCUUAGGAAAGGCUAGGAAAAUCUCAAUCAGAGGACUCAUUGGUCUGUCUUUUCUUCCCAUGAUAGAGGAAUGUGUACUAUUCUUUUCAAGGACAGAAUUGAGUCUCUUUGCCCAAUUUUUUUUUUUUUUUAGUCAUUUUGACAUUUCUUGAUUAAUUAAUGGAAGAUAUUUUGAUACUUUUAA
Molecule: long non-coding RNA, 1992 nt
Organism: Macadamia integrifolia
Lineage: Eukaryota; Viridiplantae; Streptophyta; Magnoliopsida; Proteales; Proteaceae
Exons: 2
Source: RefSeq, a predicted model, not a curated record